Molecule: long non-coding RNA, 639 nt
Filed under: Brassica rapa (field mustard)
Lineage: Eukaryota; Viridiplantae; Streptophyta; Magnoliopsida; Brassicales; Brassicaceae
Description: long non-coding RNA (BRAP_LNC002326)
Source: RNAcentral
GCUAGUGAAAUUUGAAUUCAAACAUGUGUUGAUGUUGCUUUGCAUUUCCAGAUUGUUCGUUGAAUACUAUAUAUCACUUGUUAUGUAGGAGUGUAGGACAUUCAAGUCUUAACUCUAAACAAUACAUAUAAUGUAUUCUUGUGUUUUUGGGGAUUUUGGUGAUAUACGUUCUAGAUGAUAGCUAUUUGUGUUUACGAUGUAAAUGGCGAGACAAAUUAACAAACUAGAAAAUGUUGUAAAAUUAUCGAGUUAAACAUGGAACGGUACGUAGCAUCUGUUGAUCAUUCGAUUUUUUUUUUAUUAAUAAUUAGGAGGACUGAAGAAACUCUUAUAAAUUUUUUUUUUUUUGUAAGCUAACUCUUAUAAAUUAGAUGCAUAGUUGUUCGAGUUUCACUUCUCUUACUUUGUAUCUUAAGAUCUAUAUGUAUAAUGGCCAAAAUAUUCAGACAUAUAUACAGACAAAUGAUUUCAGGUAUAUGAGAUAAUGAACACCCUUCCUCACAAAUUAGAUAAAAUUUAUUCGUGAUGGCUGUAGAAAUUGUCUCUGGCCAUCAUAAAUCGGAAGAAACAAAGUCAGAGAAGUGAUACUCCAACAACUAUACAUCUAAUUUAAGAGUUUCCUCAUUUCUCCUAAGUAUU